RNAcentral lists this long non-coding RNA (731 nucleotides) under Vulpes vulpes (red fox). RNAcentral describes it as "lncRNA (ENSVVUG00000004543.1)". Lineage: Eukaryota; Metazoa; Chordata; Mammalia; Carnivora; Canidae. The record is from RNAcentral.
AUUUUAUAAAAAAUAAAGUGAUGCCUACUUUUAUUUGUUAUAUAUUGAACCCUCUGGCAGAAGACAGCAUAGUCAUUGUUUUAUGUCAAUCUUCAGCAAGGGAGAAGAAAAAGCAGAAGGAUUUUGAACUAGUAUUCUCUGAAAGAAAAGUAAAAGAGAAAAUGGCAACAACAUAUACAAGCAGAGCAGAUUUACAAUUUGGGGAUUUACAUUUUACAAACUUUAGGGAUGAGAAAACUUGAAAAGAUUAGGGUACAUUUGAAAAGUUCUGAAGGAUUUUAGAGAUCUACUAAACUGCCUGGGCCCAAACAAAUUAACCUGAAAUGUUAUGAUAUUUUCUUUUACAGUAUCUCAAAUGCUUCUGGAAUUCCUGAGAUAUAUAAUCACACUGUGGUUGUGAUAUAAGCCGACUCUACUCUUGUGGUGAUCCAUGGUCAAGGCUGCAGUGGAGCUGACUUAUAACGAUGAAGCAAACAUGGACAGAGGUCAUUUGGUAUGGGAAGAAUUUCAGUCAUGUGGUAGAAGGGAAACCUGGAUGUAAGCAGCAAACUGUGGAUGUGCUAAGUAUAAGCACGAGCCAAUGCAUUGCUGUCUUCCGUGAAGGAAUUUUGUUUUUGAUCCUCCACUACUACCCCACAACAACCCUGAGGAUAUCUCCAACCUUGGAAAUGAAUGUCAUCUUUCCUUCCUCCUCCUCAUUCUUUUUUAAAGGGACAUUUUUGUUUCUUUGA